Molecule: long non-coding RNA, 1051 nt
Organism: Scatophagus argus
Lineage: Eukaryota; Metazoa; Chordata; Actinopteri; Scatophagidae
Exons: 3
Source: RefSeq, a predicted model, not a curated record
GAGUCCAGGGCUCUCGAGAAGGUGGCGGUAAAUAGCAAAGAGAGACUGCGCAUGCUUAAGGCCAUUUGAACUCCAGGUGCUCGUGCAAUUUUGGCGGAGACGUUAGUGUCUCUUUCGAGUUUUAAAAAAAAGGACUCUGAUGGUGCAGCUGUUCAGAGGGAGCUCGAGCAACUUACCUUUGGCAUCUACAGCAUCAAUGUUGAGGGAGGUGACGCCACUACUCCUCCAGCUGAUGUUGGCACAGUGAUCGAGGGUGUUGAGGUUCUGCAUGACUUGGGAGACAUAGCCUCUGCAUAUGCUCUGAACCUCAGUUAUCCCAAGGAACUGAAAGCCUUCUUUGAAGUACUUCAGAAGCUCUUCCUCCAACUUGAUGCAUGCAGACUCUCAUCCAAGGUACAGAUGCUCAAGAACAAACUGUGUGAAUGAUCCAACUGUUGUUUGGAUGCUGAAAAUUGUUUGGGCUUUGGUGAGCGAACCGACAUGUAUGUUUAAAUCUGAAUCUGCAAAAAAAGUGCCAUACAUAUUUUCAUUUAAUUCAUUUAAUUUUUUUUUUUUUACGUGGGUUUCAGAUAUAUUUUAUGUUUUAUUAUAUUAAUUCAUUUAUAUGGCUGAAAUAUUAUUUUCUGGCAGAUGCAGUAUGUGGAGUAUACUUUGCAUAAUUCAUACAAAAAAAUAAGGAGAUUCGACCAUUUGUAACAACUUGCCAUGCCCACUUUCAAGUUUAGUUAAACUAGUUCUAGGUUGUUCACGCCCACCUAUUACAUCAACAUAUUUUACAAUUAGAAGAAAAAUAGGCAGAAUAUUUUCAGCAAGGUGUUUGUUAUUUGGUUAGACCAUUAUGCUGUCAUGAAAAUUUGAAAGCUGCAAACAUUGAUUUGUCAUUGCAUUGGUAGUUUACAGCUGCUAGUAAUGGAGCAAGCUAUACCAAUGUUUCUGCCUGAAAGUAUGGUUAACAGUUCAUUAUGUUUAUUGUUUUGUUUUUUCUUGAACCAACUGCACCAGAAUUUUAACUGCCAUGUUAAGAUUGAUAAUAAACGAAAUAUGAAAAAUA